This is a small nuclear RNA of Liolophura sinensis, 107 nucleotides long. The record is from RefSeq and is a predicted model, not a curated record. NCBI's taxonomy places the organism in Eukaryota, Metazoa, Mollusca, Polyplacophora, Chitonida, Chitonidae.
GUACUUGCUGCGGCUGUACACAUACUAAAAUUGGAAUGAUACUGAGAAGAUUAGUAUGGCCCCUGAGCAAGGAUGACGCGAAAAUUCGUGAAGUGUUCCGUAUAUAA